Transfer RNA from Blastomyces gilchristii SLH14081, 74 nucleotides. It matches the Rfam family "tRNA". Rfam says of the family: Transfer RNA (tRNA) molecules are approximately 80 nucleotides in length. Their secondary structure includes four short double-helical elements and three loops (D, anti-codon, and T loops). The record is from Rfam. Lineage: Eukaryota; Fungi; Ascomycota; Eurotiomycetes; Onygenales; Ajellomycetaceae.
GACCCAAUGGUCAAGUAUGGUUAAGACAUAACAUUUUCACUGUUAGUGCGAGAGUUCAAAUCUCUCUUGGGUUG